UACGGAGGGUGCGAGCGUUGUCCGGAAUCAUUGGGCGUAAAGGGCGCGUAGGUGGCGGGACAAGCGUGCGGUGAAAGCUCGGGGCUCAACCCCGAGUCGGCCGUGCGAACUGUUUUGCUUGAGCACUGUAGAGGCAGGCGGAAUUCCGGGUGUAGCGGUGGAAUGCGUAGAGAUCCGGAAGAACACCGGUGGCGAAGGCGGCCUGCUGGGCAGUGGCUGACACUGAAGCGCGACAGCGUGGGGAGCAAACAGG
Molecule: ribosomal RNA, 253 nt
Filed under: uncultured bacterium
Lineage: Bacteria
Description: partial 16S ribosomal RNA
Rfam family: Bacterial small subunit ribosomal RNA
Source: RNAcentral